GAGUGAAUAUCGGCCUGUAAUGGUCCCACAACUUGAGACAAUAGAUGGCUGGAAACACUCAGCUGUGAAGGACAAGAAUGCACAUAAUCGAGUGCAGAGGAGACAUGUGCGGAUGUUACCAGAACUGGAAAAUAGAGGCUAUGAGAGAAGAUUGGAUAAACUAUUGUUUUUCUUCCCCCUAUGCAACCGAGGAGGCUGGAUGUGAGACUUAAUUGAAGUUUAUGUCAUCAGGAUUGGGCCUGGAUGGAAUAAAUAUGAAUAAGCUAUUUCACCCAGAAAAGACUCAAAACCAGGAAGUAUAGAUUUAAAUACGGUUUGAGAAAAGCCAUAAUUCCGUAAGCAAAAUCAAGCAAAACCUCGUGGAGCCUCUGUAAUUGUCAAGUCAAGAAAGUCAAGUGUGUUUAAUUGUCAUAAGUAUCGACAAUGGAACAAUUACAUUUUUCCUUAUUAUAGCUUAACAAGCCCAUAACUCAAUACACACAGAUAAUAUAUAACAAUCGAUAAAUUCGAUAAAUUAAUAACCAUAAUACUAAAUCAAAAACACAGAUCAAUUUCAGAUCACUUCAGUAUCGUAAAGUUCGUAGUGUAA
Molecule: long non-coding RNA, 589 nt
Organism: Amblyraja radiata (thorny skate)
Lineage: Eukaryota; Metazoa; Chordata; Chondrichthyes; Rajiformes; Rajidae
Exons: 2
Source: RefSeq, a predicted model, not a curated record